This is a microRNA precursor of Cephalotus follicularis, 117 nucleotides long. It matches the Rfam family "mir-399 microRNA precursor family". Rfam says of the family: mir-399 was identified in both Arabidopsis thaliana and Oryza sativa computationally and was later experimentally verified. mir-399 is thought to target mRNAs coding for a phosphatase transporter. The mature sequence is excised from the 3' arm of the hairpin. NCBI's taxonomy places the organism in Eukaryota, Viridiplantae, Streptophyta, Magnoliopsida, Oxalidales, Cephalotaceae. The record is from Rfam.
GGAAGCAUUGCUGGGCAACUACUCCUUUGGCAGUCAGCCAUUCAAAUGCAUGUGAUUAACAUCACUUGGAAGCCAAGUAAGCUCACUGCCAAAGGAGAUUUGCCCGGGAAUUCAUCU